Long non-coding RNA from Microcebus murinus (gray mouse lemur), 1099 nucleotides. RefSeq lists it as uncharacterized. The record is from RefSeq and is a predicted model, not a curated record. Lineage: Eukaryota; Metazoa; Chordata; Mammalia; Primates; Cheirogaleidae.
UGACACAUGUCACACAGCAAGGAAAUGCUAUAUGCUUUAUUAUUGCAUCAUUGAUGAAUAGCCUUUCCCUACAAAGCAGCUGUAAUGAUCUUGAUGUAAAUCAAACACCACUCCUCUAUUUAAAACUCCUCAAGGACCUUGUAUAUAAUGAAGAGUAAGUGCUUUAAUUUUUAAGGCUCUACGUGAUGGACAUUCCCUUCAACCUCAGAUCUGUCACGUGUCUGACCUUCACUACUACAACUCUUCUCUUUUUUUGAUAUACUCCUGAUUUUGCUGUUUCUGGACCAUUCUAGACUGAAAAACUAUACACAUUAUCUUGAAGAGCUGAUGGGAGGACUGAAGAUAAAGUAUUCUGGACAUGAGCUGCAGAUGUGGAAAAGAGUCUUCCUGCAAGCUGGUGAAGACGACCUUGAUGACAUCACCUUGCCAAUAUACCUGCUUCCUCACAUGCCUGGCGUUCUUUGUUUCAAGCAGUGGCAGCACCAUGUUUCUGAGUCAUUCAAACCAGUGCAUAGUUACCUAGGACUACUCUCCCUUUUUCAUUCCUGACAUCUAAUCAAUCGUCAAGUUCUGCUGACUUUACUUUCCAUGUAUUACUGAAAACCAUCGCUUUCUCUUCCCUUCUCCUAUGCUACUUCAACAAGAAGGAAAUAACGGUGCUGUGAACUAUAUGGAAAAUUCUCUAAUUAUUUCCUCUUUCUCUGACUCUUUCAUCUUUAACUCAUCCUCAGGGAGCAGCCAUUAGACCAUUUUAUGACUAAAGUUGGAUAAAAUCUAUAACUUAGUUAAAAAAAUUUGACCCACAUCAAAUCAGGCUCCUUAGUAUGACUUGAAAAACAUUACAAAAUCUGGUCCCAGACUAUCUCUCCAGCUUCAUCUUUUACUGUUCUAAAAUGAAUACACACACACACAUACACACACACACACACACACACACACACACACACACAAGAUGCCUCUUAAUGCUACAGCAAAAGUAAACUGCUUUUAGUUGCUAAAUUCACCUUGCUGCCUUAUUCUUUGUUUGCAUUUGUUGUUUACUUUGAUUAGACUGUCAUUCCUUCUUUUUUCCUCUGGUAAACUUGUAUUCUCACUUCAA